AUGGCAGCUCUCAGCUCCACGGCCGCGGCCAUUGCCAUCCUCGCGCUGGCGACCGUGGCCGGCGUAGCUCUAGGGACGACGGCGGCGGCAAAGAAGGGGCCGGUGAUCUACAUAUUCGGCGACUCGAUGUCGGACGUCGGCAACAACAACUACCUCCUCCUCUCCAUCGCCAAGUGCAACUACCCCUGGUACGGGAUUGACUACGAAGGCGGCUACCCCACCGGGAGGUUCACCAAUGGCAGGACCAUCGGAGACAUCAUGGCUGCCAAGUUUGGCGUGCCACCGCCGCCGCCGUUCCUCUCCCUGUACAUGACCGACGACGAGGUUCUCGGCGGCGUCAACUUCGCGUCCGGCGGCGCGGGACUUCUCAACGAGACCGGCAUUUACUUCGUCGAGUACCUGUCGUUCGACAACCAGAUAUCCUACUUCGAGCAGAUCAAGAACGCCAUGGUCGGCAAGAUCGGCAAGAAGGCCGCCGAGGAAGUGGUCAAUGGCGCAAUCUUCCAGAUCGGGCUUGGGAGCAACGACUACGUCAACAACUUCUUGCGGCCGUUCAUGGCGGACGGCCUCGUGUACACCCACGACCAGUUCAUCGGCCUGCUCAUGGACACCAUCGACCAGCAGCUCACGAGGCUGUACCAUCUCGGGGCGCGUAAUGUGUGGUUCACGGGGCUCGCGCCGCUCGGCUGCAUCCCGUCGCAGCGCGUCCUCUCGGACAACGGCGAGUGCCUUGAAGACGUGAACGCGUACGCCCUUCAGUUCAACGCCGCGGCCAAGGAGCUGCUGGACCGCCUCAACGCCAAGCUCCCCGGCGCGCGCAUGUCCCUCGCCGACUGCUACUCCGUCGUCAUGGAGCUCAUCGAGCACCCCAGGAAAUACGGUUUCACGACGUCCCACACGUCGUGCUGCGACGUGGACACGUCGGUGGGGGGCCUGUGCCUGCCGACGGCGGACGUCUGCGACGACCGCAGCCAGUUCGUGUUCUGGGACGCGUACCACACCUCCGACGCGGCCAACCAGGUCAUCGCCGGCCGCCUCUACGCCGACAUGGUGAGCGCCGGCGACGUGCAGCAGGGCAACACCACCGUCUCCGACGCGCCUCGCGUCGUCCGGUCACCACGCCCCGUGCCGCCUCCCCGGCCCGCGGUGCGUGGCGGCAACACCACCUCCGCGCCCCGCGCCUCGCCCACUGCGAGGCCUGUGAAUGGCAACGGCACCACCUCUGCGCCCCGCGCCUCGCCCGCCGCGAGGCCUGUGAACGGCAACGGCACCACUUCUGCGCCUCCCGUCGUCGGAUCAUCCUCCCACGCCGCGCCGCCUCCCAAGCCUUGA
Molecule: ribosomal RNA, 1332 nt
Filed under: Triticum aestivum (bread wheat)
Lineage: Eukaryota; Viridiplantae; Streptophyta; Magnoliopsida; Poales; Poaceae
Description: partial small subunit ribosomal RNA
Source: RNAcentral